AAUGAACGCUGGCGGCAAGCCUAACACAUGCAAGUCGAACGGGGUUAUAUAUAGCUUGCUAUAGUGUAGCCUAGUGGCAGAGGGGUGAGUAAUGUAUAGGAAUCUACCUAGUAGUACGGAAUAAUUACUGGAAACGGCAACUAAUACCGUAUACGCCCUAUGGGGGAAAGAUUUAUUGCUAUUAGAUGAGCCUAUAUUAGAUUAGCUAGUUGGUAGGGUAAUGGCCUACCAAGGCUAUGAUCUAUAGCUGAUCUGAGAGGAUGAUCAGCCACACUGGAACUGAGAUACG
RNAcentral lists this ribosomal RNA (289 nucleotides) under Wolbachia sp. Its description in RNAcentral is "partial 16S ribosomal RNA". It matches the Rfam family "Bacterial small subunit ribosomal RNA", at positions 29 to 328 of the family's 1533-position model. Lineage: Bacteria; Pseudomonadati; Pseudomonadota; Alphaproteobacteria; Rickettsiales; Anaplasmataceae. The record is from RNAcentral.